This 253-nucleotide ribosomal RNA is filed under the name uncultured prokaryote. RNAcentral describes it as "partial 16S ribosomal RNA". It matches the Rfam family "Bacterial small subunit ribosomal RNA", at positions 524 to 776 of the family's 1533-position model. The record is from RNAcentral.
UACGGAGGGUGCAAACGUUGCUCGGAAUCAUUGGGCGUAAAGCGCACGUAGGCGGUUCAUUAAGUCGGGUGUGAAAGCCCGGGGCUCAACCCCGGAAGUGCACUCGAAACUGAUGGACUAGAAUAUGGAAGAGGGUCGCGGAAUUCCCGGUGUAGAGGUGAAAUUCGUAGAUAUCGGGAGGAACACCAGUGGCGAAGGCGGCGACCUGGGCCAAUAUUGACGCUGAGGUGCGAAAGCGUGGGGAGCAAACAGG